Molecule: RNA transcript, 806 nt
Organism: Juglans regia (Persian walnut)
Lineage: Eukaryota; Viridiplantae; Streptophyta; Magnoliopsida; Fagales; Juglandaceae
Exons: 5
Source: RefSeq, a predicted model, not a curated record
UUUAUCGUUUAAUUUUUUUUCCUCUUUCUUCAACUGUGACUGCAACCGUUCCAACUGCUUCAACGUUUCAUUUUUCUGGCAAAACCAAAAUGGCUUCUGUAAUGUUCGCACAAUCAGCAGCAAUAACAAGAGGCAGAGAUGAAGUAUAUGUAGUAGCUGUUCCUCUAAGGGCCACAAAAGGACCAGCCCAGUUGCUUAUGUCUGCUGCCUACUCUCUCAAUCUCUGGGAUUUACAGCAUUUUAUGGUUCUCAUCAAACCCUCCUCGCCACUUCCUUCUUCUCAGGCCGUGGUUUUUGACUUCCAACCUCAAGAUCCUGAAAAUAUAUAUGUGGCUCUUGAUGUUAUAUCCGGUAGAGCAGUACCAGGAGUUAUUCUUAUGAGAAAGUUGAAAAAUCUACCAACAAGGAAAUGCUGGUAUGUUGGAUCUUUGCCAGUGGAUGCGGUAGAUAUAGCAUGUAAUUUCAACAAAAGCUGGGAAACUGAUUUGAGGGUCGGUCAACAUGACUGUCGAGAUUAUACCAAUGGAUUGGUUGAGUACCUCACUGGCCAAAAAGAUGUCUUGGAGUGCUUGAGAAGCAGCACUGGUGGUCUGGGGUAACCAAUCAACUCGCGAGGCUAUUUUACAACAGAUAAUAUUCUAUCAUUUUCUUCAAGGGUGUAUACCGAUCAAAUGAUAUACCAUGUUCUUUCACAAGGAAUUUAUUUAACCGUACAAGGAGGAGGAUUAUGUUUCCCACCGAGGGUUGGAUUGACAUUAGUGCAUUGGAAAGUAGCAGGACCGUCUUUUCCUUGGUAUCGGAUGUCU